This 572-nucleotide ribosomal RNA is filed under the name uncultured bacterium. RNAcentral describes it as "partial 16S ribosomal RNA". It matches the Rfam family "Bacterial small subunit ribosomal RNA", at positions 355 to 914 of the family's 1533-position model. The record is from RNAcentral.
UGGGGAAUCUUCCGCAAUGGACGAAAGUCUGACGGAGCAACGCCGCGUGAGUGAAGAAGGUUUUCGGAUCGUAAAAACUCUGUCUUUUGGGGGCGAACUGAGUAUGGUGAACAAUCAUAGUCAGUGACGGUACCAAAGGAGGAAGCCACGGCUAACUACGUGCCAGCAGCCGCGGUAAUACGUAGGUGGCAAGCGUUGUCCGGAAUUAUUGGGCGUAAAGAGCGCGUAGGCGGGAUAGUCAGUCUGUUGUAAAAGUGCGGGGCUCAACCCCGUGAUGGCAAUGGAAACAGCUAUUCUUGAGUGCAGGAGAGGAAAGGUGGAAUUCCCAGUGUAGCGGUGAAAUGCGUAGAUAUUGGGAGGAACACCAGUGGCGAAGGCGACUUUCUGGACUGUGUCUGACGCUGAGGCGCGAAAGCCAGGGGAGCGAACGGGAUUAGAUACCCCCGGUAGUCCUGGCCGUAAACGAUGGGUACUAGGUGUGGGAGGUAUCGACCCCUUCCGUGCCGGAGUUAACGCAAUAAGUACCCCGCCUGGGGAGUACGGUCGCAAGACUGAAACUUAAAUGAAUUGAC